This 876-nucleotide long non-coding RNA is filed under the name Manihot esculenta (cassava). Its description in RNAcentral is "long non-coding RNA (MESC_LNC001529)". Lineage: Eukaryota; Viridiplantae; Streptophyta; Magnoliopsida; Malpighiales; Euphorbiaceae. The record is from RNAcentral.
GAGUUUCGUCUCUGGAGAGGGAUUUCGGCCGCCGAAAGUGCCGCCGAAGGUGCUCUGUCCAGCCUUCUUUUGCCCAUUUUUCCAUGCAUGCCUAUGAUGUUUUAGAGGGGUUUUGGGGAGCUAUGAAGAGUUAUGUUUAAGUAAGUUUGGUCCUCAUUUGAGUCCACCUGUGUAGGUACGGACCCGAGAGACCAAGGAGGCCCACAGAGUUAGAGUUACAGAGACUGCCCAGCAGUUGACAGAGGUGAGUGGAACAGAACUUUAUUUUAAAAGUUAAGAAUUGUUUUAGCAUGAUUCAUGCAUCAUUAUGCUAUGUGUAUGUAGGAUGCUUUGCAUUAGUAUUCAUCAAGUUGAUGCAUUGCAUUAUUACUUGUAUAUGUGGAUUGGACCGAGGCGAUCUCAAUAGCCCAUAAGUCUGUCAUUAUUGUAUGUCCUGUGUGAGCUCCUUUGGGGCCGGGCAUUUACCUUGGAUGAGUCCUGUGAGAGCCCUUAUAGGGUCGGGCACCAUGAGUAGUUAGUGAAAGACCUGUGUGAGCUCCUUUGGGAGCCGGGCACUGACAGAGGGAGUUUUGGGAUCAUGUCCAAUCCGAGAUGUGAAAUGUUUGUGCAGUGAUGCAUCAUAUGAUAGCAUGUUUUAAAUGUGAUUUUUUAUAGAUUCCGCUCACUGGGCUUUAGCAGCUCAUCCCUCUCCCUAACCCCAUUUUUUCAGGGCCUCAGAGAAGAGAAAGAGAAAGAGAUAGCAAGGGUAAAAGGCAUAAGUAAUAGUAUAGAAAAGUGGACAUGAUAAUGAUGUACAGUACAGAGUUUAUGUAAUGUAUAGAAAUGAUGUAAUAGCAAGUUAUGUAUUGAGUUAUAGAAUUGUGCUUGGCCCUAGUG